AACGAACGCUGGCGGCAUGCCUAACACAUGCAAGUCGAACGAGACCUUCGGGUCUAGUGGCGCACGGGUGCGUAACGCGUGGGAACCUGCCCUUAGGUUCGGAAUAACUCCCUGAAAGGGGUGCUAAUACCGGAUAAUGUCUUCAGACCAAAGAUUUAUCGCCUUUGGAUGGGCCCGCGUUGGAUUAGCUAGUUGGUAGGGUAAAAGCCUACCAAGGCGACGAUACAUAGCUGGUCUGAGAGGAUGAUCAGCCACACUGGGACUGAGACACGGCCCAGACUACUACGGGAGGCAGCAGUGGGGAAUAUUGGACAAUGGGCGAAGGCCUGAUCCAGCAAGGCCGCGUGAGUGAUGAAGGCCUUAGGGUUGUAAAGCUCUUUUACCCGGGAUGAUAAUGACAGUACCGGGAGAAUAAGCACCGGCUAACUCCGUG
RNAcentral lists this ribosomal RNA (433 nucleotides) under uncultured bacterium. RNAcentral describes it as "partial 16S ribosomal RNA". It matches the Rfam family "Bacterial small subunit ribosomal RNA", at positions 29 to 507 of the family's 1533-position model. The record is from RNAcentral.